Molecule: long non-coding RNA, 153 nt
Organism: Nothoprocta perdicaria
Lineage: Eukaryota; Metazoa; Chordata; Aves; Tinamiformes; Tinamidae
Exons: 2
Source: RefSeq, a predicted model, not a curated record
CUCCCCUGUCCGUCCCGUCCCGUCCGGUCCCUGCCGUGGCGGGCAGCAUGUCGGCCUCGGAGGACUACUCCUCGGAGGAGGACGAGGACUACGUGCCGUCGGGUGCCGAGUACAGCGAGGAGGACGCGGCAGAGCUGGUGGCGGAGGAGGCGG